RNAcentral lists this ribosomal RNA (276 nucleotides) under Bacillus bingmayongensis. RNAcentral's name for it is "partial 16S ribosomal RNA". It matches the Rfam family "Bacterial small subunit ribosomal RNA", at positions 1195 to 1472 of the family's 1533-position model. The record is from RNAcentral. Lineage: Bacteria; Bacillati; Bacillota; Bacilli; Caryophanales; Bacillaceae.
ACACUCGUCUUAACCUGGGCCACAAACGCCCUCCAAUGGACGGUACAAAGAGGUGCAAGCCCGCGAGGUGGAGCUAAUCCAAUAAAACCGUUCUCAGUUCGGAUUGUAGGUUGCAACUCGCCUCCAUGAAGCUGGAAUCGCUAGUAAUGGCGGAUCAGCAUGCCGCGGUGAAUACGUUCCCGGGCCUUGUACACACCGCCCGUCACACCACGAGAGUUGGUAACACCCGAAGUCGGUGGGGUAACCUUUGGAGCCAGCCGCCUAAGUGAUCAGAGC